UGAGACAAGCAUAUGACUACUGGCAGGAUCAACCAGGUAGCAUUCCAUGUCGACUUUUGGCACUGCAUGGACAAGCCAAAACAACACCAAUUGUCAUUCGUACAUAGCAUGGAACGCUUUUUAGGGGCAAAUGGAGAUCGAAUGUGCCUCGUACCCACGAGGUACUCCAUGACCGAGAGAACAAGCAUGGUGCCAUUCAUCCAACAACCCAAUAGCAUUGAAGCCAAGGGGGGUUGGAGCAUGACAUUUGCUUCAAAAUUCAUCCGACGCCACGAGCCCAAGGGCUCAAAACGAAGUGCGAAAAAUUAUUAAUCCAACAAAUUCCCACUCUUUGGGUACAAGAUCACAGGAAACAAGACUCGGCCAAGAUAUUUUUUCUACUCUUGAACCAAUAACUGAAAAGACGUGUCAGAUACAUGUUCGCUGCACAAGCAAGGACUCGACAUACCUGUACACAUCAACC
This 463-nucleotide unclassified non-coding RNA is filed under the name Palmatiboea cortusifolia. RNAcentral's name for it is "Didymocarpus cortusifolius partial external transcribed spacer". The record is from RNAcentral. Lineage: Eukaryota; Viridiplantae; Streptophyta; Magnoliopsida; Lamiales; Gesneriaceae.